RNAcentral lists this small RNA (386 nucleotides) under Pongo abelii (Sumatran orangutan). RNAcentral describes it as "retained intron". The record is from RNAcentral. Lineage: Eukaryota; Metazoa; Chordata; Mammalia; Primates; Hominidae.
GCUCAGCUCCUGGAACUCCGGACAAACAACUACCAGCUUUCAGAUGAACUACGCAAGAAUGGUGUUGAACUCACCAGUCUUCGACAGAAGGUCGCCUACUUGGAUAAGGAGUUCAGCAAAGCUCAGAAGGUACCUCCCUCCACCCACCCAUCCACCUACCCAUCCACCCUGGCCUCUACCUAUCUGACUCAUUCAUCCCUCCAGUGAGCACCUACAGUGAACCAGACCUAAUGUUGCAUGCUGUUUUCAUGUAGUCAUUUAAAGGAUUCUCAUGGAAUUCUCUUUAGUUGCUAAUUUUACUUAAUCCUGCUUAAUUUAUUGAUUAAUUUUAAUUUAAAUCAUUUCUAAUUUCAGUUACUCAUUCUCAUUCACUGACUUUUAAUUAA